CCUGAGAAACCCGAAAGAUCGAAUGAGGAGAUUCAUCGUCAACGGGGUCGGCUUCCAUGCGGUACGCGAUGAUGUCGAAUCUUCGGGUUCGAUUCACGCUUCCGCUGUGGUAUGCGUCCGAUCACGUCGGCGUGCACUUCUCCUCUAGUAGAACGUCGCGACCCGCUGGGUGUCGGUUUAAGGACCCAGGAUCGUCGACUGUACCGUCGCUUCGGCGUUACGUGUACAGACGCUUGGAUUCCCGACCGACUGCUCGGCGGUAAACAUAAGGUAUCGAGCCGCACUCGAAUGCGUUCAGACUCGUUGCAAGCUUUAUCACGUUUUGCCCGGAUGUGCGGACCUGGUGCCGUACCUGGGAGUGAUUGGCUGUUGGUUGACGAUGUUCUCGAACCGGCUUACACUUGCUGUACAGCGAUACCGGUCGGCGACGCUAUUGCUUUGGGUACUUUCAGGACCCGUCUUGAAACACGGACCAAGGAGUCUAACAUGUGCGCGAGUCAUUGGGAUUAUUGAAACCUAAAGGCGCAUUGAAAGAGAAGAUCGGCCUUGCGUCGAUUGAGGGAGGAUGGGCUAACGUUUAACGAUGUUGCUCCGCACUCCCGGGGCGUCUCGUAGUCAUUGCGACUUGAGGCGCACCCAGAGCGUACACGUUGGGACCCGAAAGAUGGUGAACUAUGCCUGGUCAGGACGAAGUCAGGGGAAACCCUGAUGGAGGUCCGUAGCGAUUCUGACGUGCAAAUCGAUCGUCGGAACUGGGUAUAG
RNAcentral lists this ribosomal RNA (762 nucleotides) under Trissolcus sp. CT-2012d. Its description in RNAcentral is "eukaryotic LSU rRNA". It matches the Rfam family "Eukaryotic large subunit ribosomal RNA", at positions 420 to 920 of the family's 3401-position model. The record is from RNAcentral. Lineage: Eukaryota; Metazoa; Arthropoda; Insecta; Hymenoptera; Scelionidae.